This 280-nucleotide long non-coding RNA is filed under the name Trifolium pratense (red clover). RNAcentral describes it as "long non-coding RNA (TPRA_LNC010175)". The record is from RNAcentral. Lineage: Eukaryota; Viridiplantae; Streptophyta; Magnoliopsida; Fabales; Fabaceae.
CAUGCAUUUCAAACAAAUUCAAACAUCAAUUAUUUCAUGGCUUUUGACAUAAUUUAAAGUCAUGGAUAGAAGAUGCCCUUACCUCGGCAAAAGUUUCCAAUCACACAAUCGAACGCGCAAUUAAACACCGUUACUCGUUUCCUCAAAAAGGAAAGGAGCUAGCAAGUACAAUGGAAGUAGCAAGCUUGUUCUCAAGAGAAAUGGUGGAUAAUUGAAAAAUUUGUGAGAGAUAGGGUUCAAGAGAAGGAGGCCACGGCCAAAGAGAGAAAAGAGGAAGAAG